CAGUCGCCGCGGUAAAACGUAGGUGGCAAGCGUUGUCCGGAAUUAUUGGGCGUAAAGGGCUCGCAGGCGGUUUCUUAAGUCUGAUGUGAAAGCCCCCGGCCCAACCGGGGAGGGUCAUUGGAAACUGGGAAACUUGAGUGCAGAAGAGGAGAGUGGAAUUCCACGUGUAGCGGUGAAAUGCGUAGAGAUGUGGAGGAACACCAGUGGCGAAGGCGACUCUCUGGUCUGUAACUGACGCUGAGGAGCGAAAGCGUGGGGAGCGAACAGGAUUAGAUACCCGUGUAGUCCCUGUCUCUUAUAC
This 301-nucleotide ribosomal RNA is filed under the name uncultured bacterium. Its description in RNAcentral is "partial 16S ribosomal RNA". It matches the Rfam family "Bacterial small subunit ribosomal RNA", at positions 509 to 807 of the family's 1533-position model. The record is from RNAcentral.